RNAcentral lists this ribosomal RNA (462 nucleotides) under uncultured bacterium. RNAcentral's name for it is "bacterial SSU rRNA". It matches the Rfam family "Bacterial small subunit ribosomal RNA", at positions 28 to 490 of the family's 1533-position model. The record is from RNAcentral.
GACGAACGCUGGCGGCGUGCCUAACACAUGCAAGUCAACUUGACUGAAGGAGCAAUCUGACAGUAGAGUGGCGCAAGGGUGCGUAACGCGUAAGUAACUUGCCCCAAGGUAAGGAAUAACGUCGAGAAAUCGGCGCUAAUACCUCAUAAUGCAGCGGAUCCGCAUGGAUAUGUUGUUAAAGGUUUACCGCCUUGGGAUAGGCUUGCGUCUGAUUAGCUAGUUGGUGUGGUAACGGCACACCAAGGCUACGAUCAGUAACUGGUCUGAGAGGAUGAUCAGUCACACUGGAACUGAGACACGGUCCAGACUCCUACGGGAGGCAGCAGUGAGGAAUAUUGGGCAAUGCUCGAAAGAGUGACCCAGCAACGCCGCGUGGAGGAUGAAGGUAUUCUAUAUCGUAAACUCCUGUGAGAGCAGACGAAAGACAGAUUAUAAUCUGGAUGACUGUAUGCUCAGAGGAAG